AGGGCAGUAGUAAGGAUCUGUUUUUCAUUUAAUGGUCUUUCUCAAGGAACUUCUGAGAAAUCGGGUAACUCCUUUCUCCUGAGGGAAGAGACACGAGAGGAUGCCAAGCGAACAAGAGGCAGAGGUUGAGCCUCAAGGCUGCUCUAAAAUCAGCUGUUCUGUCUCUCGUCCCACAUGGCUUCUUGGUGAAUGGACCUCAGUUUCUUUGGGACUGCUUGAAAUUGCUGUAUUUUGAAAUGCUCCUGAGCUUAAAAUAUAUGAAAAAAUGAAAUACUAUCAAAAUGAAUAGGCUGUGGAUCCUAAAUGCAUGAACUCUGAGAAACUGGAAGAUUAAGUAAUAUUUAUUUGUGGAGGUAUGUGCCUUCUAAUUUUAAAUCUAUUUCUGUUUGUUCCACACUAGAGAACAUUGGAAAAUACCACCUGAAUAAAGCUUUUGCUUUUAGCAGCCCUGAAAAACUCAAAACUCUUGUUUUUUGUUACUAUAAUCUGGCUUCUCCUUUGAUUAAAGGCCAAAAGUUACAGAGAACAUGCUGAAUAAGAGGUA
This is a non-coding RNA of Callorhinus ursinus (northern fur seal), 544 nucleotides long. The record is from RefSeq and is a predicted model, not a curated record. NCBI's taxonomy places the organism in Eukaryota, Metazoa, Chordata, Mammalia, Carnivora, Otariidae.